GAUGAACGCUGACAGAAUGCUUAACACAUGCAAGUCAACUUGAAUUUGGGUUUUUAACUUAGGUUUGGGUGGCGGACGGGUGAGUAACGCGUAAAGAACUUGCCUCACAGCUAGGGACAACAUUUGGAAACGAAUGCUAGUACCUAAUAUUAUGAUAAUAGGGCAUCCUAUAAUUAUGAAAGCUAUAAGCGCUGUGAGAGAGCUUUGCGUCCCAUUAGCUAGUUGGAGAGGUAACGGCUCACCAAGGCGAUGAUGGGUAGCCGGCCUGAGAGGGUGAUCGGCCACAAGGGGACUGAGACACGGCCCUUACUCCUACGGGAGGCAACAGUGGGGAAUAUUGGACAAUGGACCGAGAGUCUGAUCCAGCAAUUCUGUGUGCACGAUGAAGUUUUUCGGAAUGUAAAGUGCUUUCAGUUGGGAAGAAACAAAUGACGGUACCAACAGAAGAAGUGACGGCUAAAUACGUG
This 467-nucleotide ribosomal RNA is filed under the name uncultured bacterium. Its description in RNAcentral is "partial 16S ribosomal RNA". It matches the Rfam family "Bacterial small subunit ribosomal RNA", at positions 28 to 507 of the family's 1533-position model. The record is from RNAcentral.